UUAUACCAGUAACGAUAUAUUGGUUCUCGUUAGAUCACCGGAUCAUUGGGCGCGGUCAGUACUUGGGUGGGUGACCACCUGGGAACACCGCGUGCCGUU
Caerostris extrusa is the source of this 99-nucleotide non-coding RNA. NCBI's taxonomy places the organism in Eukaryota, Metazoa, Arthropoda, Arachnida, Araneae, Araneidae. The record is from the annotation of a GenBank genome assembly.